RNAcentral lists this ribosomal RNA (495 nucleotides) under uncultured bacterium. Its description in RNAcentral is "partial 16S ribosomal RNA". It matches the Rfam family "Bacterial small subunit ribosomal RNA", at positions 28 to 505 of the family's 1533-position model. The record is from RNAcentral.
GACGAACGCUGGCGGCGUGCCUAAUACAUGCAAGUUGAGCGCUGAAGGUUGGUACUUGUACCAACUGGAUGAGCAGCGAACGGGUGAGUAACGCGUGGGGAAUCUGCCUUUGAGCGGGGGACAACAUUUGGAAACGAAUGCUAAUACCGCAUAAAAACUUUAAACACAAGUUUUAAGUUUGAAAGAUGCAAUUGCAUCACUCAAAGAUGAUCCCGCGUUGUAUUAGCUAGUUGGUGAGGUAAAGGCUCACCAAGGCGAUGAUACAUAGCCGACCUGAGAGGGUGAUCGGCCACAUUGGGACUGAGACACGGCCCAAACUCCUACGGGAGGCAGCAAUAGGGAAUCUUCGGCAAUGGACGAAAGUCUGACCGAGCAACGCCGCGUGAGUGAAGAAGGUUUUCGGAUCGUAAAACUCUGUUGGUAGAGAAGAACGUUGGUGAGAGUGGAAAGCUCAUCAAGUGACGGUAACUACCCAGAAAGGGACGGCUAACUACG